Molecule: ribosomal RNA, 588 nt
Filed under: Cryptosporidium andersoni
Lineage: Eukaryota; Apicomplexa; Conoidasida; Eucoccidiorida; Cryptosporidiidae
Description: SSU rRNA
Rfam family: Eukaryotic small subunit ribosomal RNA
Source: RNAcentral
ACAGGGAGGUAGUGACAAGAAAUAACAAUACAGGGCCUAACGGUCUUGUAAUUGGAAUGAGUGAAGUAUAAACCCCUUUACGAGUAUCAAUUGGAGGGCAAGUCUGGUGCCAGCAGCCGCGGUAAUUCCAGCUCCAAUAGCGUAUAUUAAAGUUGUUGCAGUUAAAAAGCUCGUAGUUGGAUUUCUGUUGUAUAAUUUUAUAAUAUUACCAAGGUAAUUAUUAUAUUAUCAACAUCCUUCCUAUUAUAUUCUAAAUAUAUAGGAAAUUUUACUUUGAGAAAAUUAGAGUGCUUAAAGCAGGCAACUGCCUUGAAUACUCCAGCAUGGAAUAAUAAGUAAGGACUUUUGUCUUUCUUAUUGGUUCUAGGACAAAAGUAAUGGUUAAUAGGGACAGUUGGGGGCAUUCGUAUUUAACAGCCAGAGGUGAAAUUCUUAGAUUUGUUAAAGACGAACUACUGCGAAAGCAUUUGCCAAGGAUGUUUUCAUUAAUCAAGAACGAAAGUUAGGGGAUCGAAGACGAUCAGAUACCGUCGUAGUCUUAACCAUAAACUAUGCCGACUAGAGAUUGGAGGUUGUUCCUUACUCCUU